ACGAACGCUGGCGGCGUGCUUAACACAUGCCAGUCGAACGGAAAGGCCCUGCUUUUGUGGGGUGCUCGAGUGGCGAACGGGUGAGUAACACGUGAGUAACCUGCCCUUGACUUUGGGAUAACUUCAGGAAACUGGGGCUAAUACCGGAUAGGAGCUCCUGCUGCAUGGUGGGGGUUGGAAAGUUUCGGCGGUUGGGGAUGGACUCGCGGCUUAUCAGCUUGUUGGUGGGGUAGUGGCUUACCAAGGCUUUGACGGGUAGCCGGCCUGAGAGGGUGACCGGCCACAUUGGGACUGAGAUACGGCCCAGACUCCUACGGGAGGCAGCAGUGGGGAAUAUUGCACAAUGGGCGGAAGCCUGAUGCUGCAACGCCGCGUGCGGGGUGACGGCCUUCGGGUUGUAAACCGCUUUCGCCUGUGACGAAGCGUGAGUGACGGUAAUGGGUAAAGAAGCACCGGCUAACUACGUG
RNAcentral lists this ribosomal RNA (467 nucleotides) under uncultured bacterium. RNAcentral's name for it is "partial 16S ribosomal RNA". It matches the Rfam family "Bacterial small subunit ribosomal RNA", at positions 29 to 507 of the family's 1533-position model. The record is from RNAcentral.